This 337-nucleotide ribosomal RNA is filed under the name uncultured microorganism. RNAcentral describes it as "bacterial SSU rRNA". It matches the Rfam family "Bacterial small subunit ribosomal RNA", at positions 366 to 716 of the family's 1533-position model. The record is from RNAcentral.
CCCCAAUGGACGAAAGUCUGAGGGAGCGACGCCGCGUGAAUGAAGAAGCCCUUCGGGGUGUAAAAUUCUUUUCUUUAGGAAAAUUCGUGAUGGUACUAAAGGAAUAAGGGGCCGCCAAACUCGUGCCAGCAGCGGCGGUAAUACGAGUGCCCCGAGCGUUAUCCGGAAUUACUGGGCGUAAAGCGCUAAAAGGGCGGUUUGAUAAGUCAGACGUCAAAUCUCCGAGCUCAACUCGGAGCCGGUGUCUGAAACUGGUCUAACUUGAGGACGGAAGAGGCAAGCGGAAUGGCUGGUGUAGCAGUAAAAUGCGUUAAUAUCAGGCUAGAACACCAAUGGC